GCAGUCUAUAGAGAGCCUUUGGAAAGGAAACAGUACUUGAUAGAAAUAUUCGAUUUCAAGACAAUGAAGAAAAAGGAAAUUGAUGAAACACAAGAAUUAAAGGAUGGCACACCACACAACAGUCUUUGGAGAGACAUUGAAAAGGGGUAUUUGACAGGCCGCCGGAGAAUGUUUCAAAUUUGCCAGAAAUAUUCGAUUUCAAGACAAUGAGGAAAGAGAAAACCGAUGAAAUACAAGAAUUAUAGGAGAGUCAUACAUUUUUUCUCAUAUUUUUCCUGGACAUUCAUCGAUGAGAAUCAACGAUUAAAUCAACGAUAUCGAUCAUCGACGACAGUCAUCAAACUUGGAAAUGGAAAUCCUUUCAAAACCUUAUUUAGUGCUUAGCUAUUACUGUUUAUUAGGAUAUUUUUCAAUGAAUUUAUAUUCUGAAAUAUUUAUCCAGGGAUUUUUAAACAAAAAAAAUGUGAUUAUAUUAGCUAGGAAAUUAGAAAUGCUAAUCAGUAUUUUAAAGCAGAAUGGAGAAAUUUUAAAUGGACAAGAGGAUUCAACAUCUGGCUGUCAACUUGAAGGCAACAGUUUUUCAUCAAAGAUACGGGUGACGCAUCACACCGCAGUCUUUGGAGAGACAUUGUAAAGGGAACACUAAUUGACAGGACAUCGAAGAAUGUUGCAAACUUGCCAAGAAUCUUUGAUUCCAAUGCGAUAAAGAAAGAGGGAACAUAAGAAGUAAAGGGGAAUAUUUUUCCUGCGACGCAUAUUCAAAGGAGGAGUUUAUGGUGGGAUUUUCCAGUCAAUGAGAAAUAAUGAGAGUAUUUUUCCAUGCGACGCAUAUUCAAAGGAGGAGUUUAUGGUGGAAUUUUCCAGUCAAUGAGAAAUAAUGAGAGUAUUUUUCCUGCGACGCAUAUUCAAAGGAGGAGUUUAUGGUGGAAUUUUCCAGUCAAUGAGAAAUAAUGAUGAAGUUUUCAACAUCAUAUUCUUCUGAAGGAGAGGAAAGGACACAGGACAUUAUCAAAUUAUAUUAUUAUUGUGAAAUGUAAUUUAAAAAUUAACGACGACUUUUUUGUACUGCGAUUUAAAAAUUAUGUAACAGUAUUUAGAUAAGGAUUGCGAUAUUUUUAUGUAUUAAAUAAGAAAGAAAAAAAUAGUGACGGAAGAGGAGAAGAAAGAAGCUGAAGAAAUCGUACAACGAACGAAGACCGAAACAUCUUCUUUCAAACAGGAAUGGUAUUACUGUGAGUUUUUGAUUAAUUUAUUUACUUUUUUAUAUUUCUUAGGUAUUACAGCGGCUAACUAAGAUCCAAUUUGUUUAUAUUUUUUCUUAAAGUCAUUCUUGAUAUAUUUAUACAAAAUUAUAAAAAACCUUGCACUUUUAAAAAGUGUACUAUUGAAAAGAAUAUACAGUAAGAAUAUAGCUUUAUACAUAAAAAAUAUUUAUAUACAUUUUUUAUG
Leptopilina heterotoma is the source of this 1449-nucleotide long non-coding RNA. RefSeq lists it as uncharacterized. Lineage: Eukaryota; Metazoa; Arthropoda; Insecta; Hymenoptera; Figitidae. The transcript has 8 exons. The record is from RefSeq and is a predicted model, not a curated record.